This 253-nucleotide ribosomal RNA is filed under the name uncultured bacterium. RNAcentral describes it as "partial 16S ribosomal RNA". It matches the Rfam family "Bacterial small subunit ribosomal RNA", at positions 524 to 776 of the family's 1533-position model. The record is from RNAcentral.
UACGGAGGGCGCAAACGUUGCUCGGAAUCACUGGGCGUAAGGCGCACGUAGGCGGCUCGAAAAGUCGGAUGUGAAAGCCCUGGGCUCAACCUAGGAAGUGCAUUCGAAACUGCCGAGCUUGAGUACGGGAGAGGGUUGCGGCCUUCCCGGUGUAGAGGUGAAAUUCGUAGAUAUCGGGAGGAACACCCGUGGCGAAGGCGGCAGCCUGGACCGAUACUGACGCUGAGGUGCGAAAGCGUGGGGAGCAAACAGG